This 79-nucleotide transfer RNA is filed under the name Marinobacter sp. Its description in RNAcentral is "tRNA-Met". The record is from RNAcentral. Lineage: Bacteria; Pseudomonadati; Pseudomonadota; Gammaproteobacteria; Pseudomonadales; Marinobacteraceae.
UUGUCUAUUACCGUGAAGUACUGCAUUCAAAGGACUCAUAAUCCCUUGGUCGCUGGUUCGAGUCCAGCUGGGCCCACCA